ACAGCCCUCUUUCAUUCAUUCCCUUCCUUCUUGCUUGGCAUCGCCUUCACUUCACAUAGACAAAGAGCUGCGGCCGCACCAUUUCAUUCACCAAGCCGCCGCCGAUGCCACCAAGCUGCCGCCAAGCUUACUUUUCGCUUGUAUCGGCGGUGUUUCUCUGCUUCACAAGCUUGCGCUCUUGCUCAGUCAUUCAAAGCCAGGUUUCAUGUUGUCUUUACCAGCUAGAAGUUCUCAGAGUUAGUCACAUUUUAACUCGGGUAGUCCAGGACCUCAGGAUAAGCUAGCCUAUCAAACAGCACCUGUAGGGCAGAAGAGAGAAAAGCUCGACCCAUCAAUGAUCCAGCCAUGUUUUCUUCUUAAUUUGCAAGAAUGGGGAGUUAUUGGCUCAAAGAUAAUGGCAGCGGGGAGAACCAGUAACUAACACUAAGAUUUGUUUAUGUGAGUUAGCCUAUUGAUUUCUUCUCUUAGUUAGUGGAUUGCUUACUUUUUACACAUUUAUCUAAAGGUAGAUGGUGAACUUUGGAUUUCAUUGAUUGAUUGAUCCUAUAAAAUAUAUAGAACAUAAUUAUAUGAGAUGGAAACUUUUAACUUGUAUUAAUUUAUUGAU
Molecule: long non-coding RNA, 607 nt
Organism: Ziziphus jujuba (common jujube)
Lineage: Eukaryota; Viridiplantae; Streptophyta; Magnoliopsida; Rosales; Rhamnaceae
Exons: 3
Source: RefSeq, a predicted model, not a curated record